GACGAACGCUGGCGGCGUGCUUAACACAUGCAAGUCGAACGGAAAGGCCCUGCUUUUGUGGGGUGCUCGAGUGGCGAACGGGUGAGUAACACGUGAGUAACCUGCCCUUGACUUUGGGAUAACUUCAGGAAACUGGGGCUAAUACCGGAUAGGAGCUCCUGCUGCAUGGUGGGGGUUGGAAAGUUUCGGCGGUUGGGGAUGGACUCGCGGCUUAUCAGCUUGUUGGUGGGGUAGUGGCUUACCAAGGCUUUGACGGGUAGCCGGCCUGAGAGGGUGACCGGCCACAUUGGGACUGAGAUACGGCCCAGACUCCUACGGGAGGCAGCAGUGGGGAAUAUUGCACAAUGGGCGGAAGCCUGAUGCAGCAACGCCGCGUGCGGGAUGACGGCCUUCGGGUUGUAAACCGCUUUCGCCUGUGACGAAGCGUGAGUGACGGUAAUGGGUAAAGAAGCACCGGCUAACUACGUGCCAGCAGCCGCGGUGAUACGUAGGGUGCGAGCGUUGUCCGGAUUUAUUGGGCGUAAAGGGCUCGUAGGUGGUUGAUCGCGUCGGAAGUGUAAUCUUGGGGCUUAACCCUGAGCGUGCUUUCGAUACGGGUUGACUUGAGGAAGGUAGGGGAGAAUGGAAUCCCUGGUGGAGCGGUGGAAUGCGCAGAUAUCAGGAGGAACACCAGUGGCGAAGGCGGUUCUCUGGGCCUUUCCUGACGCUGAGGAGCGAAAGCGUGGGGAGCGAACAGGCUUAGAUACCCUGGUAGUCCACGCUGUAAACGGUGGGUACUAGGUGUGGGGUCCAUUCCACGGGUUCCGUGCCGUAGCUAACGCUUUAAGUACCCCGCCUGGGGAGUACGGCCGCAAGGCUAAAACUCAAAGGAAUUGACGGGGCCCCGCACAAGCGGCGGAGCAUGCGGAUUAAUUCGAUGCAACGCGUAGAACCUUACCUGGGUUUGACAUGGAUCGGGAGUGCUCAGAGAUGGGUGUGCCUCUUUUGGGGUCGGUUCACAGGUGGUGCAUGGCUGUCGUCAGCUCGUGUCGUGAGAUGUUGGGUUAAGUCCCGCAACGAGCGCAACCCUUGUUCACUGUUGCCAGCACGUUAUGGUGGGGACUCAGUGGAGACCGCCGGGGUCAACCCGGAGGAAGGUGGGGAUGACGUCAAGUCAUCAUGCCCCUUAUGUCCAGGGCUUCACGCAUGCUACAAUGGCUGGUACAGAGAGUGGCGAGCCUGUGAGGGUGAGCGAAUCUCGGAAAGCCGGUCUCAGUUCGGAUUGGGGUCUGCAACUCGACCUCAUGAAGUCGGAGUCGCUAGUAAUCGCAGAUCAGCAACGCUGCGGUGAAUACGUCCCCGGG
Molecule: ribosomal RNA, 1343 nt
Filed under: uncultured bacterium
Lineage: Bacteria
Description: 16S ribosomal RNA
Rfam family: Bacterial small subunit ribosomal RNA
Source: RNAcentral